UCACCGGAUGGAGAAGGGCUCCAGGACCCAGGUGCGGAGCAGGCGGCACUCUGGGGAGCAGAUGGGUAGGAAAACAGGUGGCGUUGGGGCAUAGCCCCUCCAGGGCAGUGGGGUCACACGCCUGCCCAGGCCACUUCUGCCCAAUCAGAGAGCAGGGAGCCACUAGACACUGGCAAUGGCCCCCGGAAGUGACGCCUUCUCCUCCCACCCGCGCAGGACCUGGAGCCCCUGCCUGGACCAUGGUUCACUAGCGGAGCCCCAGAUCCUCCACCCACGCACACCACACAGAGGAUUUGAACAGGGGGAUCUGUCUUUCCCUAGGAGAUGGGAAAUCUGGGACCUGGUUGGGGGAGAAGAUGGGAGGGAAACAGGUUUUUUCCAGGAGGAUUCUGGCAGGACACUUUUGUCCCUGAGGAAGAGGCACGGAGGUCUGGCUUUAGAAUGGAACCCAGUCCUAGCCCAGUGGCUGGCCCAGGCCUCGGGCAGUCUCUGCCCCUCCCUGGUCUGGGGUUCCCAUCCUGGGCCGGACACGCACCUCCUGGUCCAGCUUGGAGGGGGGGGGCUCCAGACCCGCCUCUCCUCCCGUCUUUGCGCCCCCUGGUCCCUCCCCUCCCCUCCCUCCCCUCCCCCUCCCCACCCCCUUCUCCUACAGCCCCUCCCUCCUCCCCUGCCCGGUUCCAGCCCCUCCCUCCCCUCCCCCAUUCGCGAUCCGGGCCGCUGCUGCUGGGCCGGACCCCCCGGGCUCAGCCCGGCCCCUCGCCGAGCCGCCGCCGCCGCCCCGUUUGCUGAGGAGGAGGCCCCCGGCCGGGGCGCCGGGCGCGGGGCAUAAAACGGGCCAGAGCCGUCGCCCGGGGCACUAGAGCCGCGUACGGCCCGGGUCAGCGGCCGCCAGCCCGCCCGCGCUCCUCCCGGCCGCUCCUCCCGCCCCACCCGGCCCGGCGCCGACUCCGCGGCCGCCCGACGAGCCCCUAGCCGCACAGCUCGGGCCCUGGCCCCGGCCCCCUCCCGCCGUACCGCCCCCGGCCCGGCCCUCCUCCCACCUCCCUCCUCCUUCUCCAGCUCCCU
This 1065-nucleotide long non-coding RNA is filed under the name Delphinapterus leucas (beluga whale). Its description in RNAcentral is "lncRNA (ENSDLEG00000009150.1)". The record is from RNAcentral. Lineage: Eukaryota; Metazoa; Chordata; Mammalia; Artiodactyla; Monodontidae.